This 20-nucleotide transfer RNA is filed under the name Oryza neocaledonica. RNAcentral describes it as "partial tRNA-Met". Lineage: Eukaryota; Viridiplantae; Streptophyta; Magnoliopsida; Poales; Poaceae. The record is from RNAcentral.
GUGCGGAGACGGGAAUCGAA